UGUAGUGUAGCAUGCCCGUU
Molecule: microRNA, 20 nt
Filed under: Medicago truncatula (barrel medic)
Lineage: Eukaryota; Viridiplantae; Streptophyta; Magnoliopsida; Fabales; Fabaceae
Description: mtr-miR2617b
Source: miRBase by way of RNAcentral